GGAGGGUAUAGCUCAGUGGUAGAGUGCAUGCUUAGCAUGCAUGAGGUCCUGGGUUCAAUCCCCAGUACCUCCA
Molecule: transfer RNA, 73 nt
Filed under: Vicugna pacos (alpaca)
Lineage: Eukaryota; Metazoa; Chordata; Mammalia; Artiodactyla; Camelidae
Description: tRNA-Ala (AGC) (tRNA-Ala-AGC-18 1 to 8)
Rfam family: tRNA
About the family: Transfer RNA (tRNA) molecules are approximately 80 nucleotides in length. Their secondary structure includes four short double-helical elements and three loops (D, anti-codon, and T loops).
Source: RNAcentral